This 1494-nucleotide long non-coding RNA is filed under the name Homo sapiens (human). RNAcentral describes it as "HSALNT0003976". The record is from RNAcentral. Lineage: Eukaryota; Metazoa; Chordata; Mammalia; Primates; Hominidae.
GAAGGGGUCGUCCGUUCCCGGACCCAGGAGCUAAGGGUCCUAGAAUCAUCUUCCCCAACCCUCCUCUCUCCUCCCCACUCCUGGAGCGAGCUCGGGCUCGGGUUGGUCUGGACAGGUCCCUGCCUCCAACUAGCUGGAGAGGAGGGGUCCUGUCCCACCCUGAAGAGGUGGGGCCUGCCGGGAAGUGUAGGUGAGGGCGAGACAAUUCUUGAGGAAAGACAGAGGACAGAGACAGGAAAAGACAGCAAAACAGAGACGACAGAUGAGAGAUACAGGGAACCCAGAGAUGAGAGGGAACCUGAGCCUGAACCGGACAGAGAGACCCGGGAGACCCAGACAGAGGGAAGUCCCCUAGACCAAGCCUGGCAGGGAGGGUGUGGGGCUGGCGCGACGGCCGGGGGGGCCACCCUGGCGGGCACAGCCGGCGCCCCAGCUGGCGGGUCGGUUCCUGGGUCCGGAAACUCAAAGUCAGUUACGUAAGGGCCGGAGCGGGGCGCGGGGCUCCAGGCCCCGGAGCCCCCUCCCGCUGCUAGCCGCCAGCCCGCUCCAGCGCUGCUGCGGGCCCGGCAGGAGCAUGCGGGGCCGGGCAAGGCGGGGCUAGGGGGCGGCCGGGGGCUGCGCCGACCUGCAGGGACUCUCCCGCGGACACCGAAUGCAGGACCCCCGCCCCAGACAGCCAGGACCGGCCGGACCCGGACGUGUCUAGCUCCGGAUCCGAGCUCCCGGACCCCCUCUCCAGACUCCCACGCCCCUCCCUGCACCCUGAACUUUAAGAUGCCCAGACUCCUUUGGACCCCAAGUUCGGAUUCUGGAAUUCGGGACCGCUGGACCCCUCAGCCCUGGACCCUUCGACCCUGGUCUCGCCUCUCCCGGGACGGUCCGAGCCCUUGGGGGAACCAAUUCCAAUGCACAGCUUCCAGGGAUGAGCAAUGGAGGACAGAAUGGAAUAGAGCAGGAACUAAGCAAGGAUGCUAAUGCAAGAUAUAGCCGCUGUCCUUCCCAGCUUUGGUGGGAGUUGGCUCUGACUAGAUCUGUCAGGCCUCUGUGAAGUCUUCCUGACUGAGUCUCUCUCUAUGAGCAGAGUGGGGCCAAGAAGCCACCCCAACUCCUACCCCCGGGCAGCCUGGUCGCCCUGGCCCUGCCCACACAGCCUGCCCUGAGGCAUGCUGAGAUCCCAGUCUGCAUCAGGGCUGCCCAUCUGCCUUGGUGCUCAUCACCUUGACAUGAACAGGCCCGAAGGUGAGUGGCCCUGGGUUGAGGACUUUGAAGGGAAGUUGCCCCAGGGCUGGGGGAGGCUCCAGGCUCUGGUGGCCUCCUAAGGAUGGGUCACAUGUGAUGGGAAACAGAUCUGGGUCAGGAAAGAAUUGCCUUCCAGGGAGUUACUUAUUAACCACAGGGGCCAGCGACUAUUUGAGAACACUGAGGAGGCAGAAGUCUCCUGGGGAACGGGGUUCUAACUCCCACCCCAGGGCCAACUUGAAUGCACACAAGGAG